RNAcentral lists this ribosomal RNA (494 nucleotides) under uncultured bacterium. Its description in RNAcentral is "bacterial SSU rRNA". It matches the Rfam family "Bacterial small subunit ribosomal RNA", at positions 28 to 533 of the family's 1533-position model. The record is from RNAcentral.
GAUGAACGCUAGCGGCAGGCCUAACACAUGCAAGUCGAGGGGCAUCAUGGCGUAGCAAUACGCUGAUGGCGACCGGCGCACGGGUGCGUAACGCGUAUGGAACCUACCCACCGCAGGGGGAUAACCCGCCGAAAGGCGGACUAAUACCCCAUGGUUCCCCGACCCUGCCUGGGGUUGGGGGUAAAGCCUACGGGCGGCGGUGGAUGGCCCUGCGUGCCAUUAGCUGGCUGGUGGGGUAACGGCCCACCAGGGCGACGAUGGCUAGGGGGUCUGAGAGGACGAUCCCCCACACUGGUACUGAGACACGGACCAGACUCCUACGGGAGGCAGCAGUGAGGAAUCUUGCGCAAUGGGGGCAACCCUGACGCAGCCAUGCCGCGUGAAUGAUGAAGGCCUUAGGGUUGUAAAGUUCUUUUGCCCGUGCGAUGAUGACGGUAACGGGAGAAUAAGCUCCGGCUAACUUCGUGCCAGCAGCCGCGGUAAGCUCGUCUCUA